ACAUAGGUGGUUCAGUGGUAGAAUUCUCACCUGCCACAUGGGAGGCCCAGGUUCAAUUCCCAGCUAAUGCA
Non-coding RNA from Danio rerio (zebrafish), 71 nucleotides. Lineage: Eukaryota; Metazoa; Chordata; Actinopteri; Cypriniformes; Danionidae. The record is from Rfam.